GGGGUUGUGACUCAAUGGUAGAUCUUUCGCCUCGCAGGUGCGAGACCCUGGGUUCGAUCCUCAGCACCACA
RNAcentral lists this transfer RNA (71 nucleotides) under Marmota monax (woodchuck). Its description in RNAcentral is "tRNA.Ala". Lineage: Eukaryota; Metazoa; Chordata; Mammalia; Rodentia; Sciuridae. The record is from RNAcentral.